Molecule: unclassified non-coding RNA, 233 nt
Filed under: uncultured fungus
Lineage: Eukaryota; Fungi
Description: sequence contains ITS1, 5.8S rRNA gene
Rfam family: 5.8S ribosomal RNA (bases 185-233)
Source: RNAcentral
UCUCCGUUGGUGAACCAGCGGAGGGAUCAUUAAAGAGUGUAAAAACUCCCAAACCCAUGUGAACUUACCACUGUUGCCUCGGUGGGCUACCCGGUAGCUACUCGUAGCCGCCUCGGUCGCCUGCCGACGGACUUCAAAACUCUUUUGAAUAUUGAUUCUCUGAGUACAACUUUUAAUAAGUAAAAACUUUCAACAACGGAUCUCUUGGUUCUGGCAUCGAUGAAGAACGCAGC